Molecule: long non-coding RNA, 430 nt
Organism: Zalophus californianus (California sea lion)
Lineage: Eukaryota; Metazoa; Chordata; Mammalia; Carnivora; Otariidae
Exons: 3
Source: RefSeq, a predicted model, not a curated record
GAUCAGGGAGCUAGGACCAGAAAGUGGGAGUGCUGUGGAGAAACCCCAGGGGCAUUAGCUCAGCCUGAGGGAAAGGUCAAGGUCAAGGCGAGACAUGAAGAACCAUGUGUGUGCCUCCAGUGAUAAAGCAAGGACAAAGUCACGUGAGCCUGGAGGGUGCUAGCCAUUGUGUGUUAUCAGCACCACACAGAGGAGCUCUGGAAGCUGAGUUUCAUGUUCUAUCUGUCUGAUUUGGGAGCUCUCCUCUAUUGUCAAGAAAAGACAGAGAAGUUCCCCGGGAAGAUGAAGACCAGAGUAACCUUUGAAACCACACAUUGAGACUGCAGGACAGCUAUCAGCCUGGGUCCCUGAAGAAUCAUGUAGACAUAUUUGGUUACCAAUCUGGACCAUCACUGGGACUGUUGUGAGAGACAGAAAUAAACUUCUUACA